Molecule: RNA transcript, 513 nt
Organism: Zalophus californianus (California sea lion)
Lineage: Eukaryota; Metazoa; Chordata; Mammalia; Carnivora; Otariidae
Gene name: 60S ribosomal protein L23a-like
Exons: 1
Source: RefSeq, a predicted model, not a curated record
AUGGCGCCGAAGGCUAAGAAGGAAGCCCCUGCCCCUCCCAAAGCCGAAGCCAAAGCAAAGGCUUUGAAGGCCAAGAAAGCGGUGCUGAAAGGCGUCCAGUCACAAAAAAAAGAAAAUCCGCACGUCACCUACGUUCCGACGACCCAAGACACUGCGUCUGCGGAGGCAGCCCAAAUAUCCUCGAAAGAGCGCCCCCAGGAGAAACAAGCUUGAUCACUAUGCCAUCAUCAAGUUCCCCCUGACCACUGAGUCAGCCAUGAAAAAAAUAGAAGACAACAACACACUUGUGUUCAUUGUGGAUGUCAAGGCCAAUAAGCACCAGAUCAAACAGGCUGUGAAGAAGCUCUACGACAUUGACGUGGCCAAGGUCAACACCUUGAUCAGGCCUGAUGGAGAGAAGAAGGCAUAUGUUCGACUGGCUCCUGACUAUGAUGCUUUGGAUGUUGCCAACAAAAUUGGAAUCAUCUAAACUGAGUCCAGCUGGCUAAAUCUAAAUUAAAUUUUUUUCACCAA